UUCAUAAUGCAGAACUUCAGUCCUAUUCCAGAAGGCUCUCUUCUAGCAGAAUCUGCAGGGCAUUGAUUAUAUACCCGAUGAGCCAUAGAAUCAUCAAGACCCAGGCCAGCUCCACUCGGAGUUGCUCCAUACUCUGCAUGGUCCACUCUUCUAUCUCCUUCUGUUUCCCACUUAGGUAUUCGGAGCACCAUUCAGGCUGAUGCUCAUGCUGCUACUGAACUGCCCCAGACACUGGUGUCAUCUCCAUUACCUGAAGAGGACAAUGAAAUGUCUCCUUUAUCUUUAUCCUGCUUCUGUGUAGCAGAGUCUCAAAUGAAUACAGACUUCAGGGUCGUGGCUCUUUGAGAAUGUCACACAGCACUUUAUGCCCACAGCAUACAAUGCUUCCAGAAAGUCUAGGUCAAGGCAGCCGGACAGUACCAGGAGCCUCAGGCCCUGUCGCUGAAGCUGCCCCAUCGUGCCACACUUCACAACUUCCAAAGGUAGAGUUCUCUCUGAAAACUCACAAUCUUGCCAUCUGUCUCCAUUCUCAUAUCUCAAUCUAUUCAGCUUAUCAGUCUCCAUGUGCCACUUUCCCAUGAGGCAUUUCAACAUCCAUGUAAAUCAGAAGUGAUGCAUAAACUAGGUGUCAGGAGCAUAGGGGAGCACAAGGCAUUAUCUAUUUCUGUGAGCCAUGCUUAACAUACAGCUACUCAGUACCAAAGAACUCAGUCGCUACAAUAUAGAGAUAAUUACAAACAAAUGAGUGACAUCAACGAGAUCUAAGUUGUCAUAAAUACAAUUUCAUAUUUUUUUAUGAAUGAAAAAAUAUUUAUCUUUUUUCAAAAAUUCACUUGGAAAUUAUUUUCAUGAUAUAGUACCAUGAUCAUGAUUUUAUCAUACUCUCCAACAACAUCAAUAAGAAAAACCAGCUCAGGGCAGGCCCUGUGGCAUAGUGGUUAAGUCCAGCACACUCUGCUUUGGCAGCCCAGGUUCACAAUUUUGGAUCCUGGGCAUGGACCUACACCACUCGUCAAGCCACACUUUGGUGGUGAUCCACAUACAAAAUAGAUGAAGAUUAGCAAGGUGUUAGCUCAGAGUAAAUUUUCCUCAACGAAAAAAAGAAAAGAAGGCUCUCAAGCUCUGAAGCUUUUCCUAUACUCUGCUCUUCUCCCCCAAGGCCCUAACAUUCCACACACAUUCCAUGGUUGCCAGGAUGCUCUGCUUUAUUCAGCAUUACAUCACCAGAUGCUAGGAACAUAUCUGGAGUAGAGUGGACUUUUGUGACUCUGAAGUUUGGCCCAGUGUAGUCACAGUCGAUUGCUAGCAAUAUUCAGAUUGAAUCCAGAGAAGUCAACUGCAGAGUUCAAUCGCGCAAUUGUGAUGAUACAAACGUAGCCUCCUUUAUGUUAAGGAUGGCGAUAGUAGAUGGUCGUCUGAGGCGAUUGAGGCCUGCUCAUCACACUUGAGUGAGCUCGAAAGCUGACCCUUCAGUCCUGGUCAAGCCAGAUGAGAUGACUGCAGAGCUGGGAGACAGCUUGACUGCCGAGACCCUGGGCCAGAAUCACUCAGCUAGGUGGCUCUAGGAUACGGGAACUUCAGAACCUGCACGAGAUAAGAAGUAUAUUAACCUGCUAAAUUUUGAUGAAUUUGUUCACAGCAAUAAAUAACAUACAGCUAGAGACUGAACGAGAACUAUUUUCUUGGCCAUACUAGUUAAGAAUAAGUAAAAAAGAACUUGAAGACUGA
RNAcentral lists this long non-coding RNA (1728 nucleotides) under Equus asinus (donkey). RNAcentral describes it as "lncRNA (ENSEASG00005024594.1)". The record is from RNAcentral. Lineage: Eukaryota; Metazoa; Chordata; Mammalia; Perissodactyla; Equidae.